This 291-nucleotide ribosomal RNA is filed under the name bacterium enrichment culture clone ALO1_GLFRUDD03GS922. RNAcentral's name for it is "partial 16S ribosomal RNA". It matches the Rfam family "Bacterial small subunit ribosomal RNA", at positions 9 to 301 of the family's 1533-position model. The record is from RNAcentral.
GAGUUUGAUCAUGGCUCAGAUUGAACGCUGGCGGCAGGCCUAACACAUGCAAGUCGAGCGGAUGACGGGAGCUUGCUCCUUGAUUCAGCGGCGGACGGGUGAGUAAUGCCUAGGAAUCUGCCUGGUAGUGGGGGGACAACGUUUCGAAAGGAACGCUAAUACCGCAUACGUCCUACGGGAGAAAGCAGGGGACCUUCGGGCCUUGCGCUAUCAGAUGAGCCUAGGUCGGAUUAGCUAGUUGGUGGGGUAAUGGCUCACCAAGGCGACGAUCCGUAACUGGUCUGAGAGGAU